UUGUUGGUAAGGUAAAAGCUUACCAAGGCUUCGAUCAGUAGCUGGUCUGAGAGGACGGCCAGCCACACUGGGACUGAGACACGGCCCAGACUCCUACGGGAGGCAGCAGUGGGGAAUUUUGGACAAUGGGGGCAACCCUGAUCCAGCCAUGCCGCGUGAGUGAAGAAGGCCUUCGGGUUGUAAAGCUCUUUCAGCCGGAACGAAACGGUUACGGUUAACACCCGUGACUACUGACGGUACCGGAAGAAGAAGCACCGGCUAACUACGUGCCAGCAGCCGCGGUAAUACGUAGGGUGCGAGCGUUAAUCGGAAUUACUGGGCGUAAAGCGUGCGCAGGUGGUUUUGUAAGUCAGAUGUGAAAGCCCCGGGCUCAACCUGGGAACUGCGUUUGAAACUACAAGACUAGAGUGUGGCAGAGGGGGGUGGAAUUCCGCGUGUAGCAGUGAAAUGCGUAGAGAUGUGGAGGAACACCGAUGGCGAAGGCAGCCCCCUGGGUCAACACUGACGCUCAGGCACGAAAGCAUGGGGAGCAAACAGGAUUAGAUACCCUGGUAGUCCAUGCCCUAAACGAUGUCAACUAGUUGUCGGGCCUUUACGGGCUUGGUAACGUAGCUAACGCGUGAAGUUGACCGCCUGGGGAGUACGAUCGCAAGAUUAAAACUCAAAUGAAUUGACGGGGACCCGCACAAGCGGUGGAUUAUGUGGAUUAAUUCGAUGCAACGCGAAAAACCUUACCUACCCUUGACAUGUAUCGAAGCCCGCAGAAAAGCGGGGGUGCCCGAAAGGGAACGAUAACACAGGUGCUGCAUGGCUGUCGUCAGCUCGUGUCGUGAGAUGUUGGGUUAAGUCCCGCAACGAGCGCAACCCUUGUCAUUAAUUGCCAUCAUUUAGUUGGGCACUUUAAUGAGACUGCCGG
RNAcentral lists this ribosomal RNA (916 nucleotides) under uncultured bacterium. RNAcentral's name for it is "bacterial SSU rRNA". It matches the Rfam family "Bacterial small subunit ribosomal RNA", at positions 246 to 1155 of the family's 1533-position model. The record is from RNAcentral.